RNAcentral lists this ribosomal RNA (465 nucleotides) under uncultured bacterium. RNAcentral's name for it is "bacterial SSU rRNA". It matches the Rfam family "Bacterial small subunit ribosomal RNA", at positions 329 to 793 of the family's 1533-position model. The record is from RNAcentral.
UGCCAGACUCCUACGGGAGGCAGCAGUGGGGAAUAUUGCACAAUGGGGGAAACCCUGAUGCAGCGACGCCGCGUGAGUGAAGAAGCGUUUCGGCGCGUAAAGCUCUGUCAGCGGGGAAGAAACACGGUUCGCGAGAGCCGCGGACGGUACCCGACCAAGAAGCCCCGGCUAACUACGUGCCAGCAGCCGCGGUAAUACGUAGGGGGCAAGCGUUAUCCGGAUUCACUGGGUGUAAAGGGAGCGUAGACGGCGAGGCAAGUCUGGAGUGAAAGGCCGGGGCCCAACCCCGGGACUGCAUUUGGAACUGUGUAGCUGGAGUGUCGGAGAGGCAGGCGGAAUUCCUAGUGUAGCGGUGAAAUGCGUAGAUAUUAGGAGGAACGCCAGUGGCGAAGGAGGCCUGCUGGACGAUGACCGACGUUGAGGCUCGAAAGCGUGGGGAGCAAACAGGAUUAGAUACCCUCGUAU